This is a ribosomal RNA of Takifugu rubripes (torafugu), 119 nucleotides long. The record is from Ensembl. NCBI's taxonomy places the organism in Eukaryota, Metazoa, Chordata, Actinopteri, Tetraodontiformes, Tetraodontidae.
GCUUACGGCCAUACCACCCUGAGAACGCCCGAUCUCGUCAGAUCUCGGAAGCUAAGCAGGGUCGGGCCUGGUUAGUACUUGGAUGGGAGACCGCCUGGGAAUACCAGGUGCUGUAAGCU